UACGUAGGGUGCUAGCGUUGUUCGGAAUCAUUGGGCGUAAAGCGCGUGUAGGUUGUUAGGUAAGUCGAUUGUGAAAUCCCUGGGCUCAACCGAGGAAGUGCAGUCGAAAACUACCUAGCUAGAAGACGGCAGAGGAAGGUGGAAUUCCUAGUGUAGAGGUGAAAAUUCGUAGAUAUUAGGAGGAAUACCGGUGGCGAAGGCGGCCUUCUGGACCGAUACUGACGCUGAGGCGCGAAAGCGUGGGGAGCAAACAGG
RNAcentral lists this ribosomal RNA (255 nucleotides) under uncultured bacterium. RNAcentral describes it as "partial 16S ribosomal RNA". It matches the Rfam family "Bacterial small subunit ribosomal RNA", at positions 524 to 776 of the family's 1533-position model. The record is from RNAcentral.